GACGAACGCUGGCGGCGUGCCUAAUACAUGCAAGUCGAACGCAGGGGGGACGGGUGAGUAACAAGUGGGUAACCUCCCAUCAGAGGGGAUAACACUUGGAAACAGGUGCUAAACCGACACUGAGGGAUGGAACAGCGGUGCAUUAGCUUGUCGGUGAGGUAACGGCCCACCAAGGCCACGAGGCAUAGCCGACCUGAGAGGAUGAUCGGCCACACUGUGACUGAGACACGGCCCAGACUCCUACGGGAGGCAGCAGUAGGGAAUAUUCGGCAAUGGACGAAAGUCUGACCGAGCAACGCCGCGUGAGUGAAGAAGGUUUUCGGGUCGUAAAACUCUGUUGUUAGAGAAGCGGUAUCUAACCAGAAAGCCACGGCUAACUACGUGCCAGCAGCCGCGGUAAUUC
Molecule: ribosomal RNA, 403 nt
Filed under: uncultured bacterium
Lineage: Bacteria
Description: partial 16S ribosomal RNA
Rfam family: Bacterial small subunit ribosomal RNA
Source: RNAcentral